AGAGUUUGAUCAUGGCUCAGGAUGAACGCUGGCGGCGUGCCUAACACAUGCAAGUCGAGCGAGAAGCUGGAGAAUGACGCUUCGGUAGAUUUCACCAGUGGGAAGCGGCGGACGGGUGAGUAACGCGUAGGCAACCUGCCCUUCACACAGGGAUAGCCUCGGGAAACCGGGAUUAAGACCAGAUAAUGCAUCUGAUGUGCAUAUAUGAGAUGCCAAAGAUUUAUCGGUGAAGGAUGGGCCUGCGUCUGAUUAGUUAGUUGGUGAGGUAACGGCUCACCAAGGCGACGAUCAGUAGCCGAGCUGAGAGGCUGAACGGCCACAUUGGAACUGAGACACGGUCCAGACUCCUACGGGAGGCAGCAGUGGGGAAUAUUGCACAAUGGGGGGGACCCUGAUGCAGCAACGCCGCGUGAAGGAAGAAGGCUCUUGGGUCGUAAACUUCUGUCCUGGAGGAAGAAAGAAAUGACGGUACUCCUGGAGGAAGCCCCGGCUAACUACGUGCCAGCAGCCGCGGU
Molecule: ribosomal RNA, 515 nt
Filed under: Eubacterium sp. oral clone 24-56
Lineage: Bacteria; Bacillati; Bacillota; Clostridia; Eubacteriales; Eubacteriaceae
Description: bacterial SSU rRNA
Rfam family: Bacterial small subunit ribosomal RNA
Source: RNAcentral